UACGUAGGAGGCAAGCGUUGUCCGGAAUUACUGGGUGUAAAGCGCGUGUAGGUGGGAGGCCAAGUCUGUGGUGAAAGCGCCCGGCUCAACUGGGCAGAGUCCAUGGAAACUGGUCACCUGGAGGACGGUAGAGGCGAGUGGAAUUCCUGGUGUAGCGGUGAAAUGCGUAGAUAUCAGGAGGAACACCGGUGGUGUAGACGGCUUUCUGGACCGUAACUGACGCUGAGACACGAAAGCGUGGGUAGCAAACAGG
RNAcentral lists this ribosomal RNA (253 nucleotides) under uncultured bacterium. Its description in RNAcentral is "partial 16S ribosomal RNA". It matches the Rfam family "Bacterial small subunit ribosomal RNA", at positions 524 to 776 of the family's 1533-position model. The record is from RNAcentral.